RNAcentral lists this ribosomal RNA (526 nucleotides) under Bifidobacterium longum subsp. suillum. Its description in RNAcentral is "bacterial SSU rRNA". It matches the Rfam family "Bacterial small subunit ribosomal RNA", at positions 164 to 705 of the family's 1533-position model. Lineage: Bacteria; Bacillati; Actinomycetota; Actinomycetes; Bifidobacteriales; Bifidobacteriaceae. The record is from RNAcentral.
UAAUGCCGGAUGUUCCAGUUGAUCGCAUGGUCUUCUGGGAAAGCUUUCGCGGUAUGGGAUGGGGUCGCGUCCUAUCAGCUUGACGGCGGGGUAACGGCCCACCGUGGCUUCGACGGGUAGCCGGCCUGAGAGGGCGACCGGCCACAUUGGGACUGAGAUACGGCCCAGACUCCUACGGGAGGCAGCAGUGGGGAAUAUUGCACAAUGGGCGCAAGCCUGAUGCAGCGACGCCGCGUGAGGGAUGGAGGCCUUCGGGUUGUAAACCUCUUUUAUCGGGGAGCAAGCGUGAGUGAGUUUACCCGUUGAAUAAGCACCGGCUAACUACGUGCCAGCAGCCGCGGUAAUACGUAGGGUGCAAGCGUUAUCCGGAAUUAUUGGGCGUAAAGGGCUCGUAGGCGGUUCGUCGCGUCCGGUGUGAAAGUCCAUCGCUUAACGGUGGAUCCGCGCCGGGUACGGGCGGGCUUGAGUGCGGUAGGGGAGACUGGAAUUCCCGGUGUAACGGUGGAAUGUGUAGAUAUCGGAAAAG